Molecule: transfer RNA, 67 nt
Filed under: Akkermansia sp. CAG:344
Lineage: Bacteria; Pseudomonadati; Verrucomicrobiota; Verrucomicrobiia; Verrucomicrobiales; Akkermansiaceae
Description: transfer RNA-Asn(GTT)
Rfam family: tRNA
About the family: Transfer RNA (tRNA) molecules are approximately 80 nucleotides in length. Their secondary structure includes four short double-helical elements and three loops (D, anti-codon, and T loops).
Source: RNAcentral
CCCUGUAGCUCAGCGGUAGAGCGGGUGACUGUUAAUCACUAGGUCGUUGGUUCGAGCCCAACCGGGG